CCUACGGGAGGCAGCAGUGAGGAAUAUUGGUCAAUGGGCGCAAGCCUGAACCAGCCAAGUCGCGUGAGGGAUGACGGUCCUAUGGAUUGUAAACCUCUUUUGUCGGGGAGCAAGGCCCGCCACGUGUGGCGGGUAGGAGAGUACUCGAUGAAAAAGCAUCGGCUAACUCCGUCCCAGCAGCCGCGGUAAUACGGGGGUUGCGAGCGUUAACGGGUUUGAUGGGGUUUAAAGGGUGCGUAGGGGGAAGGCUAAGGCAGCGGUAAAAUGCGGGUGCUAAAACCCGGCCUGCCGUUGAAACUGGUCUUCUUGAGUGAGCGAGAAGUCAGCGGAAUGCGUGGUGUAGCGGUGAAAUGCAUAGAUAUCACGCAGAACUCCGAUUGCGAAGGCAGCAUACCGGCGCUCAACUGACGCUGAGGCACGAAAGCGUGGGGAUCGAACAGGAUUAGAUACCCCUGUAGUC
This 460-nucleotide ribosomal RNA is filed under the name uncultured bacterium. RNAcentral describes it as "partial 16S ribosomal RNA". It matches the Rfam family "Bacterial small subunit ribosomal RNA", at positions 338 to 795 of the family's 1533-position model. The record is from RNAcentral.